AAGUAAGUGUUUUUUGGGCAUACUAAAUUCUUUACUUAUCCAUGAAGUUUGCAAAUUAUUUUCUUAAGGUAGUAAGUGUUUUAGGGAACAUGAAUAUCAAAGAGAGGCUUAAUUUUCUCUGCUUUUAAAGAGUUUAUUCAAAUUCAAUAUGAAUUGGACCCAAAAUCUUGUCGGGGAUUGGUUUAAAUGAGAAGUAAGAUGGUUGAGUACGAAACCAUAAAGGGAAAAGUGACUUUCGAGUCAACUUCGGCUAAAUAUUUGGACUUGAUUCGAUAGUCAAAUUAUGGAAAUAAAUAAACUUACUAGUUCUACUUGUCGAGUAAAUCGUCGUGGCAUAUUUGAAAUCUCAAAAUCAAUUUCGAAUGAAUUAGAAAUUGCAGUUCAAAGUUGGCAAAAAAAAAAAAAAAAAAAAUUGAAAAAUUGGUUGAGAAUUUGCAUAACUCCACUGCUCGAGUGGUGAGGGAGCGACAGUGACACUGUUCGAGCGAUGUCAAGUACCAGGUGAGUGAAAAGGUCACUGCAUAAAAAAUGCCACUGGCGCUAGAGUAACGCACCUGUGGUAGGCGAGCGGCGGACUAGGUUGCAACCUUUUGUAAAAGCUGAUGAGUCGUGGAGCGUGUCUCUUCAGUCACAACAUCUCCUCUUCUAUAAAUAAGACCCUUGGGAGGUCCUUUACUAUAUCCCAACCAUAGGAAAUCAUAACAUAACAUAAAAAUCAUAUUUCCUUAGCCUGAAUUUUACAUAAAAAUCUGUUUUCAUUUCAUUUGAAAGGAGUACAAAGCCAUCUUUUUGGUUCGUUGUUUCUUGUGUUUUGGAGCGCUACAAAUACAAGAAGGUAGUCGUUAUAUCUUGAAAGUUUAAUGCCAUUAUCAAUAGGCACCAUCGUGAGGCAAAAUCGACUUAAAAACAAAGAGUUCAACUUUUGCCUCGACUUUGUAUCCAUUUUCUUGUCGUUACUCUGUCCAAUUUUGGUAAGGUUAGAAAGUUCAAUUUUGAAAGAAAUCACUCAAAUCCAUUUUACAAACAGCAAAUCCAACAUGGAUGAUAUUGAUGAGUCGAUACCAAAUCAAGAAAUUUGAAAUUAUUUGCAGAUCUCAGAAAAAGUUAUCUGCCAUAGGAGCAUGGGAGAACAGCAAGAAAGCAAGUCUGGAGGCUGAGCUCAAGAAGAUUGAGGUAACAAAACCAAGUCUUUACAUAGUUUUCUUUUGUUUUGAAAUUUUAACGAUCAAAAUGUGUAGUUUUCUCCUUAGUUUCAGUUAAUCAUAAUAUCUAAAUCCUCUAGGAGCAACUGGAGAAAAAGAAAGCGGAAUAUGUCGAGAAAAUGAAGAACAAGGUUGCUCUUAUUCACAAGGCAGCAGAAGAGAAGAGGGCAAUGAUUGAAGCCAAACGAGGAGAAGAUCUUCUCAAGGCAGAGGAAACUGCUGCAAAAUACCGUGCCACAGGAACUGCCCCGAAGAAACUGCUAGGAUUUUUUUGAAGCUGAAUUAUUUAGUUUGAUUUGAAACUGAAGUUGCAUUUGUAAAACUUUUUGGUUUGAGAAUUUGUGUUCUAAUUUGGUGAAGAAUUGAUAGGCUGUUCUAUUAUGUGUGCAUAUUGUUGGUAUUUGUUUGUAGAUAUUGGCUUUGUGAAAAAAAAAAAAAAAAAAACAAUCCCUUCCAAGUGUUGCAUACAGAUUGAUGUCCUGGUAACAGACGUGAACAAAUAGGUAUUUCUACUUAUUUACAUUUUCUUUCUAAUCAGCAGAAUAGUGAUAUCUAAUCCCAGGUGGAGGACUUGAAUAUUCUCUCCCAGACUUCACUUACUGAGUGUACUAUCUAUGGUAAAUGCUUAGAAGUUUUUGUUUAUGUCUCCAGGCAUAGGUAUUAAAUUUUGUUCAAAUCAAUACCCAACACCCUCUAUUGAGCAGUAGAAGUGCACUAGAAUGUUAACAAUUCUUUCCUUUUUCCCAAUUCACUGUACAACUGUUUUCUUCAUCACUUUCUAACAUUAAUGAUUUAGUGGCUGGAGAUUUAAUUGUUGGUUGGCUUGAAAGUUGAUCAAUAUAGAUUGAAGUCCUGAUAAGUGAGGGAUUAUGCAGAGAACACCUUGAGUCUAACUCUACGUCAUCUAAGAAGUUUAGGGCACCAUUUUCUCUCACUGUUCAACUUGUUGUGGAACCAUAAACUGACUUAAAAAACUGCUCUACAGUCCUUCUUUACCCUUCAGAGUUGCAUCCAGGACUGGUCUACUCAACGCUUUAGACAUUUCCACAACCUGGAUGGCAUGUACAUAUUCUUAUCCAGUCUAAGAAUAAAGAUAUCACUUGUUAGUUGAAGUUAAAUUUGUAACUUCAUGCAGGUUAUGCCCACUUCUGACCUUAGUUUACCUAAUCUUCUUAAGAUUCAACAGUCAAUUUAUUCAGUCGAUGACAUAAGUUUAGAAUACGCUAUGAAACAAAAGGCUAAUUUUUUGGAAGAUGCUGGUUCCUUUGAAGGAAAGCUUCAUUUUCAUAAUCUCCACUUUCCCCACUUUGAAGUGGACGGGGAAAGUCUGGGUAUCAUCUUGUAGGCUAUGCCCACUUCUGACCUUAGUUUACCUAAUCUUCUUAGAUUCAACAAUCAGUUUUAUUCAGUUGAUGACAUCAGUUUAGACUAUGGAACAAAAGGCUGAUUUUUUGGAAGAUGUUGGUUCCUGUGAAAGAGAGCUUCAUUUUCAUAAUCUUCACUUUCUCCAUUUUGAAGUGGACGGGGAAAGUCAGGGUAUCAUCAGAAAUAUAAAUAUGGAGGAUGAGCUUCGAGAUUUUUAAAAUAUUGAACCUCAGCAUCGGACAGAACUAGUAUUGGAUGAUGGCAAGGAGCUUUUGAGUUCAAUUGAAUUUGACUUAAUGAAAUAUCUCUCUGGUCAUCAUUUAGCAGUUCAGUGCCUUGAAGUUGAGUUGCACUGCUCAAAUUUUGCACUGCAAAUGGACUACUUAAGUGUUGUAGAACAAUCUCAUUGUGAAGAGUACCCAACAUUCCAUCAAGGCAAAGCAGAUGGUUAUAUAAUUGGAUCAAUGAACAUGCGUCUAUUUUAAGAAUUCCAAUUCUUUGAUAAGGAUCCAUCUUGUUCUUGUGUGGUCUUCUCAGAUGCAGCCAAAGAGAUUGAAGCAGAACCGUGUGAAUUCAUGUUUCAGAGAAACUAUGAUCUUUAGGAAUUUUAGUGAAUUGAUUGUUUGUCCAAACUUUCUCACAUGGAUGACUCUUUCAAAUCAUUGCCAGUACCUAUUAUUUCUGGCCAUGGAAGAAUUAGGUCUGCAUUUAUUGGUUGAGCAAAAAUUAACACGGGAAAUCACAGUCUUCAUCAACACCUGAUGGUCUAUAUCUAGAUUGGCAUUUUCUGGAAGAUGACAACUUUGGUAAAUAUUCUUCUUGUAGGAAAAUGCUGUGGGAGAUAGAUACUUACAAGAUAGAUGCUUCUAUGUACUUGAUUGAUAGUAGGAAACAGACCUAUGAUAUCAAUCUCCCUAAGGAUUGUUCUGACAAACCACUCAGAAGCCUUAAAGAAAAUGCUGAACUUACUUUCUGCUGGUUUUUUUUUAUAUGUUUCAUACUUCUGUUGAUGAGAAAGAUUCAGAUAGUUUUUAUAACCACAGAGAUAAAAAAGGUUAAACACGGACAUGUUGUCGAAAGCCGGCAUUGAGAAGGUUCCUUUGUUUGUGGAAUCCAUGUCUAGCGAUCUUGAUUUUUUCUUAAAUUUCAAUUGAUGUCACAGGAAAAGAAAGUAAACUUGCAGAUAAGUUUGUUGAUAUUGUUACAUGUCCAGGGCUUUCUGCAAAUGAUGAUUCUAUUGCUAGUAAUACUACCACCAUGGUUCAACAGCAGUGGAUUGUCGGGUUGCACCAGAGUCUAGAUCAAGCUAGUGAGAACCUGAUUUUACUCUGCCUUUCUAAAGAAGAACUCAUGGAUGGUCUUAAGAAAAAAGUGCAUCAAGUACUUAUUCAGCUCACAAUGACAAUAAUAUUAUAUUGUUGAUGACGUUGUGUGCAAUUAAACAAAUGCCUCUCUACCUCUGUUUCUAUGGAGUCAUGCCACUUACCUAUAUGUAGACAGGUUGUGCAGCAGCCUGCAGUGCUUAAAAUCCAGAUUAUGUUUUCUGUAUAACUUGAUCAAAGUUGCGGAUGAGAUGGCUGAGAAAGAUAUAUGUGAAAUUCAUCCCUCCCUUUCUGUCGUGCAUGAUAUUUUGCGGACAAAAUUAAGCAGCAGCUGUUUAAAAAUAUUAAUUGUUUGCUGACCAAGUUUUAUUGUGGCCAUUGAAGAGACUGUUGACAUCAUGAAGAUAUUAUAUAAUGAGCUACAUCAUUUAUCGUCGGAUGCAAGUCAACAGGGUCAUGAGUUCAUGGACACCAUACUAAAUAUUAUGCUUUCCUUGGAUUGUUGUGUGAUAUCCUAUGAGUAAGUAUUGAUCGCUUUAGAAGUAAAUGAUGGAAAAAUUUUAAGUGACAAUUUCUUUACCUGAUGUAGUGAAAUCUUCCCUUGUUGUUUCUGGGAAGUGAGGAACUAAUGGCUUCUUUCUUUUCCAGCUUAAUCUCGAGAUAGGAGUCCAGUUAAUCACUGACUUGUCAUGACAUUUUUCUUGCACGAUCUCUUGAAGAUUGACUAGUUACAGACAUGUAAUGCUGAACAAAUAUUGCAUUAUCAUGAAAUUCUACCGGCGCGCAUUAUAUAUUUGACCUUCCAGUUUCAGUAUAUGAUGGCUCAUGAAACGCUAUUUAUGCAAGCAGACACUUUUCUUUGCUCCAUGCAAGUCCUUAUUAGGAGAAUUUUGAAAUGUUUAAUUCCAAGUGUGAGUCCUUAAGUUUAAAGACAAGUGCAAAUAAUGUAUUAUAGUGAAAACCUCGAUUUACAGUUUUGGACAGAGAAAACACAAUAGAAGAUUCACAGUUUCUGGUAGCAACAUUAGUCCACUGUGUGUUAUUGUCAUUGCAAUAGACUAAACCUUCACCAGUGUUUGUAGUAAUAGAAGUUUCUUUAGACGUUUUAAUCUUUGAUAUUUUUUCUAUUCCAGAUUUUAGAGGGAUAAGCCAAUUUUCUAUCAGGAAUUAUGGAAUCAAAUGAACUCUAUGCUGCAGCAGCUAGCUUAGGAAUCGAUAUACAUCUCUUCUGUUCAUAUUCAUCUGAAGAUGACUGACAAAACUCUAUUAUCCUGCAUUGAGGUAGGAAUAAAUUCAAAUAGGGGAUUUUGUCCUAAAAUACCCACUCAGAAAGUCUGGCUAAAUACUUCCUCCCCGUAUUUCCUUCAAUUAAUCCUCUCUCAGCUCAUGCUAUAAUGUCUUCAGGAGGCACACGCAUUGAAUUUCUAGAAAUUUCCGUUGAGGAUAAAAUUUGGGCUCUAUAAGAAUCUCAGGUUUCUGACGAAACCAUUGCUUUGCUAAGUGAAAAGAGCUGAUAUGGAGUUUGGGAGGAUUCAAAAUCUGGAAUGACAGGCUGCUCCUCUUUAGUGUCUUCAGCUCCCGACUUAGAGACUGCUGAAUUCAGAAGUGCUUCUGAGGGGAAGAAACUAAAAUAUACUCACAAUCUUUAUGAUGCCAGAGAGCCUCCAAACGAUUUGUUUCAUAUGGAGUCAUUGAAAGCUAUUUUCAGGCGACGUACUCCAUCACCCAAAGCAUCAAUUUCAUGUGAUUCUUGGCUGUCAGGAAGUACAGAGAAAUUUGAUGAAUCUGGGUAAGUCAAAUUUAUCUUUCGAUGACAAACUGUUUCAUCAUAGCCAGGGAUUAGAUAUCAACACAAUGAUGAAUUCAAUCCACCAUGUUAAGAUUUCAUGAUUUUUCAGGUGCAUCAGAUCUCGAAAUACUAGGUGAGAUGGAGAAGGCUACAAUGGCUCAGAUUGGUGUAAAUUAUGAUCGAAGAGGGAGAUCAGGUACAUCUGCAAUGAUCAACUAUAGUAGACAAAAUACCAAGGCUUCUGAAAAUCUACAGGAAGAUUUGAUUGGUGAAGUUAUUGACAUCGACGAUACUCCAGCAUUUAGAAAUAUCGGUGACUGUUCACCAUUUCUGCUUGAUUGGGGGGGGAGCGGGUGGUGUUGGUUAGAUUAUGCAACGAGAAAAUCCAGAAUGAAUAAACCAUUUCCAGGAGUAAGCAAAGUUCCUAUUUAUACAGAUGCUGUUGAAAUUAAUUCUGCCUCAGAUGCCUGGGUUUCUAUUAGGGACAUUAGACAAAGUUCAAAGGAAGAAAUUAGGGAACAUUUUGAUACAGUUGAAAAAAAAAAAAAAUCAUUGAAGUGCCAGAAAAGGCACUUCCAGGAGGAUAUGUUACAGACAAAAUUCCUACAAAUUAUCUUUCCAAGAAAAGGGUCCUCAAAACUAUGGCAGAACACCACUUUCUAAUUCUCUUCUUCUCCACCCGACCUCAACCAGGAUUGUCCUGGACGAUUGAGUUUCUAAACAGAAUAAGGGAAAAGAGUAGAUUGCAACAACAUUCUCUUCCAUGUAACUUAUCCUCGCAUCAAAGGUUACUAGAAGGAAGAGUUCAUCUAUUCUUGAAUUGUACCAAGGAGGCAUCACCUCAGAGAAUAGUCGAAGGAAAGAGACGAAGGAGGCUUCACAACGUUCAAGUUCAUCAUUGAACAAUAAGAGUUUAGCGUCUUGCCAUCAAGCAUUGACUCCAAUCGAUAAGAGAGCAAUUCGGGUGCAUUAAUUGAACUUCUAUCUUAUACCGGAAAAUCUUCUCCUAUUGCAUCCUGAUCUUUAUUUGAUCAACUGCAGAUGCUAUCUUUUGCAACAAAUGGAAAUGGAGGGGGCAAAGUAUGCUGGUCUGGAUUGAUAAAAGUUUUCAUACUUUCAACAGAAGAUUUUAGCGUUGAUUACAAUAUGGCAAGAAGUUUGCAUGAUCAUGUAUUUGCUAAAAUUGUUCAAGAGAGUGGCAAGUUUUUAAGUUCUUAUAUUUGGUUAAUCUAUACCACUAACAAAAAGGGUGCUUCUUUAUGACCCAAGUAUUGUAGCAACAAGAAGUAACUCUCUGGCAUUCUCAAGCUUUUUUUCAUCUCAAAUUUCCCAGGGUAUAUAGAGAAUCAUCAAUGCAAACAGGUACUAAUAGUUUCUGAACUUUUUUUUUUUUUUUUUUUUUAUGUUCAUUUGUUUACUUUGUGUGGACUUAGGUUCAAUUGUUCUUUAGUUUAUUUGUUAAAUGGUCACUAAAUAUCAGUUGAGAAAGGUUGUAUGUCCCUGAUAUUAUCUUUCCAUUAUUAUGCCCUCCUCGGCCGACAUACAUCGUAAGGGAUCCGUUGCAAAAAUUGAAGUCCGGUGCUAUAUUUAUACUAUAAUUAUUUUGAAGUUUAAAGUAUCUGCUGGACCAACUUCUAUAGUCCGGUAAUAAUCCUAUUACCUGGAUUCAAUGAAUAUAUUCCAGAUAUAUAUGGUAGGCGCCUAGUGUUCUCUGGACCAGUUUACGCCAAAAUUAUUUGAAGAUAUGUUUUGGAUCGUGAAUUUCUCGAGGAGAAAGGUAAUGGAAGAGUUUUGGUUGUUGACGGUGAAGGUAGUUGAGAUGUGCAAUAUUAGGCGGCAAACUUGCUGUACAAGCUCAGAACAAUGGAUGUGCCGGUACAGCAGUUGAUGACUGCAUAAGGGAUGUGGAUGAAAUCAAUGGUUGUUGUAUUGGAGUGAGAGCUCUGGCUUCACAUUCAGUGAAAGCUAAUAAGGGGAUUGGAGAAAAGCAUGAAUUCAAGAAUUGGAUGCUUUUAAGUGGGCCUUUUGGUCAAAAUAAUUGAAAUUCGGCUCGUCACUUUAUUUUUGUGGCUGCCUAAACCAAAAAAGAACAGCUCAUAUUUGAUGGAAUUUUUGGGUCUUGUAGCGAUGAUUGCUAUUAAAGAGGAAGAGGAUUCUUUCAUAUUGAUUCCCAAGAAAAAAAUAAUUAACAAAAAGAAAAGAUUGGAGAGGAUUACAUGUGAUCUUUCACCCAUCUAUAUACAUCUGUCUUCUAGCUAAAAUAUCACACUUGUCUAUUUCUUUUUAUAUUUUUAUUUUUUAUUUUUUUGUGUAUGACAGCUUAUCUUUUUAAUUAUUAUAAUAACACGAUACUCCAUAUUACGGAAAAUGUAAUAAUUCAGUUUAUCUUUCAAUUCGGAACUCUCUGAGCUAAUGCUCCAAUUAAUUUUAAUUGAACGAUAAUUUAAUGAACUGAAGUGGUACUGGUAUACUGCACACACAACCUUCACAUUUGUGUGAAAAGCAUGAAGACACAAUAUUAUAUUAUCAUUUAGUAUUAUUUCUAUACAAUGCUGGAAUCAAGUAAAGCUAAAGCACUUCAAGUACUAAUUAUCACAUCAAAGCUUGCAAAAAAUCAUGAUCAAUUAUCCUGUAUCAAAAGAAAAACAAAAAAUAUGUCAUGUCUACGACGAGGAUUUUAGUAGCGUGGAUCUAAUAUGAUUAAUUUUAUUACACUGUAUAUGAGUGUGCUUUUAAAAGUAGAAGGAAAAGCAACAUGAAAUGGUCUAAAGAAGCAGCAUUAUGGACCACUUUGCUUAAGAGAGAAUAUAUUUCUUCCAUUGAGUUGGGUUUAAGAUUUUUUUAUUUUUUAUUUUUAAUGCAUAUAAAGAUAAAAUGGAAGAAGAAUAUAUAUAGACAAAAUUCACAUGAUUCAUAUUGGUCAAAUUGAGUACUUGAUUGAGUGAACAUUACUCUUAGAUCUACAAGUUGAAUCAGUUGAAUGAUAUUGGUCGAAUGUCAUAAAAAUGUUAUAAUUAUUCUCACAAGAUACAAAUUUAUUUAUAGUGAAUACCAAUUAAUUUGUAAACGAGGCAUUCCCAAUAGGAAAAUGCUGAAGUGUUGGAAAAAUUUUGACAUGGGGCUUGACAAAUAUUCACAAUGUCGGGACCUACAUGAAUAAAUAAUUAGAAGGAAGAAAUGGACCCCACCUCCAAAUGUGAGGGUCUGUCAAGACUUCUGUUGAUUCUCUUCUGACAGUGCAGCAGAGUCCUUUCCAAUAUUCCGAUCCCAAAGGCGACAAGAAUUACGAAUUAUUAAUUAUUUUAUUCUUAAUCAUUCUACCGUAUAUUUUUUUUUCCUUAAAAUGCAAAUCCCCAGAAUAGAAUCUCUGUGCCAAUAUCUUUAGCGUACCAAUCAUCCAGCCGAGUCUCCUGUUCUGUUUUCAAGUGACAGUUACCUUCCACCAACCAAUUACACAAAUAUCUCCCAAACCCACCAACAAACUCAUAGAAUUUUUCUCCACAACGUCUUCCCCUGCUCAUAGAAUCUUCUUCUACAAUUCUCGACUUUUUUGUAGUAUCUGUUAGAGCAAAAUUAACAAGAUAGCUAAGUUUUCUGAAGUGAUGGCGGAGGAGGAAGCCAAGAAAGUGGAGGCUGAUCCACGUUCUGAGGCUCCACCACCACCUCCGGAGGAAACAGUUGAAGCAGCUCCGAAAGAUGUCACGGAGGAGAAAUCUGUAAUUCCACCACCACUUCCUCCACCGGAGGAGAAACCAGCUGCUGAUGAGUGUAAAGCUCUUGCUGUUGUUGAAAGUAAUUUCUUUACCUACCCAACUCUCAUUGUAUGCAAAUUUUUUAUUUCAUUUUCAGAUUAUUUUUGUGUUAUAUCUAUUUAAAGAAGUAAUUUUACCUAUUUAUGAUGAAAUCCAUUAUUUUCAGUAAAAAUAAAAUUAAUGACAAAAAUAAGGUUUUUUUUUUUUUUUUUUUUUUUUAUGGUUUUUUUUUUUUUUUUUUUUAAGAAAUGAGUAAAUUACACACUCGGUCCUCAAUGUUGAGAUCGGUCGCAAGUUAGUCCCAGCCUUUUUUCUUGCACUGCACUGAUAUUUCCAUUUUUCUGGAUUUUUUACAAAUUUGAGGGCAAAAGUUUCCUUUUCUCAAUUUAAAUGUACAUAUGCCCAUACUAGCCUUAUAAGAGAUAUUCACUGAGUUAGUUAUUUUAAUAUUUUUCUAUGUCAACUGAUGAGCCAUUUUUUGACGUCUCAACUUGGAAAAUUUACAUGGAUAAUUAACUUUUUUUCAUUUGAUUAGGUUUACCAAGAUAUAUAAUUUAAGUCAUGCCUUGCACAAAUUAAGUUAAUUAGUAACAAUUUUUGUAUUAAUUGUUUGUGACUUUUCUUCUUCCUCCUGAGCAAAGAACCAGAACCUGCUGAGGAGAAAAAACUUGAGGGCUCUAUUAACAGAGGUAAUUUAAGAUUACAAGUUAUUGUAUUGUCUUUUUAUAGUGUGGUUGACGUACUAAAAAGUACAUUUUUAUGUGCUUAUUCGGGUGAUACCACGCGAAAAAGUCGAGAAAAGUUGCCUUUUUAAGUGCAGAAGCAUACAUGCUAUCAGAAGUUUUAACUAGUAAAUGUAUUGAUAACAUAAUUAGCCUCUGUUAAUUAAUCAAUUUAUAAAGAGGAAUUUAUUGGAUCCCACGAAAUGUUGGAAUAAUAAAUAAUCAGUAGUUGUGAGUGUUCGGUCGAAAUUUACACGGAAGCUUAGUUCUUUAUAUUAAUAUGGCCUCAGAUGCUGUACUUGCUCGAGUUACUACGGAGAAGAGAUUGUCUUUAAUUAAAGCAUGGGAAGAAAGUGAGAAAUCAAAAGCUGAUAACAAGUAAGUGUUUUUUGGGCAUACUAAAUUCUUUACUUAUCCAUGAAGUCUGCAAAUUAUUUUCUUAAGCUAGUCUGGCUUAAUAUUGCUGAUUUUUAUUUAUUUAUUUAUUUAUUUUUUUGGAUUUGUCAAAAAUGUCUAUUUUGGUACUUGGAUACACAAUCUUCACAAGCCCAACUUCCCGUAAUAACUCCAUGAUAUACGAUUUUAGUCACACGACUCACCUUAGAAUGCUUAGUGUGUGUGGAUGUUAGUCGAACAACCAUGAAUAUCCACAACUCAAGAACCCUCUAGGGAACAUGAAUAUCAAAGAGAGGCUUAAUUUUCUCUGCUUUUAAAGAGUUUAUUCAAAUUCAAUAUGAAUUGGACUCAAAAUCUUGUCGGGGAUUGGUUUAAACGAGAAGUAAGAUGGUUGAGUACGAAACCAUAGAGGGAAAAGUGACUUUCGAGUCAACUUCAGCUAAAUAUUUGGAUUUGAUUCGAUAGUCAAAUUAUGGAAAUAAAUAAACUUACUAGUUCUACUUGUCGAGUAAAUCGUCGUGGCAUAUUUGAAAUUUCAAAAUCAAUUUCGAAUGAAUUAGAAAUUGCAGUUCAAAGUUGGCUAAAAAAAAAAAAAUUUUGAAAAAUUGGUUGAGAAUUUGCAUAACUCCACUGCUCGAGUGGUAAGGGAGUGACAGUGACACUGUUCGAGCGAUGUCAAGCACCAGGUGAGUGAAAAGGUCCCUGCAUAAAAAAUGCCACUGGCACUAGUGUAACGCACCUGUGGUAGGUGAGCGGCGGACAAGGUUGCGACCUUUUGUAAAAGCUGAUGAGUCUUGGAGCGUGUCUCUUCAGUCACAACAUCUCCUCUUCUAUAAAUAAGACCCUUGGGAGGUCCUUUACUAUAUCCCAACCAUAGGAAAUCAUAACAUAACAUAAAAAUCAUAUUUCCUUAGCCUGAAUUUUGCAUAAAAAUCUGUUUUCAUUUCAUUUGAAAGAAGUACAAAGCCAUCUUUUUGGUUCGUUGUUUCUUGUGUUUUGGAGCGCUAUAAAUACAAGAAGGUAGUCGUUAUAUCUUGAAAGUUUAGUGCCAUUAUCAAUAGGCACCAUUGUGACGCAAAAUCGACUUAAAAACAAAGAGUUGAACUCUUGCCUCAACUUUGUAUCCAUUUUCUUGCCGUUACUCUGUCCAAUUUUGGUAAGGUUAGAAAGUUCAAUUUUGAAAGAAAUCACUCAAAUCCAUUUUACAAACAGCAAAUCCAACAUGGAUGAUAUUGAUGAGUCGAUACCAAAUCAAGAAAUUUGAAAUUAUUUGCAGAUCU
This 11828-nucleotide long non-coding RNA is filed under the name Olea europaea (common olive). Its description in RNAcentral is "long non-coding RNA (OEUR_LNC004509)". Lineage: Eukaryota; Viridiplantae; Streptophyta; Magnoliopsida; Lamiales; Oleaceae. The record is from RNAcentral.